CUGGUUUGGCCGUGCUGGGGCUGGCCUGCCUCAUUAGAAAGCGUGUUUUGGAGCAGAGACAAUGAGGGAUGGGAAAGGUAACAAAAACCUCUUGGGAUUCCCGGAUUGCUCAGGAUGUUAUAACAUGUUCAAGCAUUGGUGGCCGUAAAACCAAGCUGUCUGUUCAGAAUCAAAGACUGAGUGCGUCCGGGGACUUAGCCGUUGCACAACUCGUCAGCAGAAAACACCUUUUCUUCAGCAUCUCCUAUGACUCCCCCUUACAUUUUGCAAACUAACUGCUGCACUCGGGGUGAAUAGUUAACAGAGAUACGAUAACAAAAAAGACUUUCCUUGAAGAUAUGAAAAGUUGGUCAAUAAUAGAGCAUGCGUUAGAAUCGCAUUCUAAUUUUAUAAUGGGAAGGGGUCUCUCCUUAUUGGAAUUGGUGUCUAGGGAUGCAUGAGCGGGUGGGAAAUCUUCACAGGUCCUGAUUGGUGGAAUGAAAAGCACGUAAAUGUAAUUUCACACAUACUAAGAAGUAUAUGGAAUAAUGACUGCUCGUUGGACCUUAGUUACCUGCGGCUCUGAUUCUGUCCCUGGUUAAAGAACAGGGGCUCACAUCAUAAGAGCAUGACUGUCGUCAGUCUCUAGACUAAUUCUGUAUGGAUUCGCAAUGGGCUACAAAAUGUUUUAUUCACUAUCUCUCCCUGUGUCCAAGAAGGUCUGGACAGGUGCCUGGGUGUGCUUUGACUAACAUUCUCCCCGAGUCCUUUCCCUUCCUGCAGAAUGGGAGAAUACCCAGUAAUAGCACCUUGUUAAGGAAUUCAGUGAGUGUGAACCCCAUGAGCAGUGCCUAGAAUAGCGCCUGGCAUAUGUUCUAAGUGUUCAAGAACUAAUUUGUCUAGAGACAGACCCCGGGCAGUAUUUUCAGCCAGCACUCAGGGAGCAUUAAGCCGCUGGCGGAAUCAGACUUGCUUUUUCUUAAUCUUUAAGCUAAAAAAAGAUAGCUCCUCUUGGGGUGAUCCUUUGUACGAGGAAAUCCGUAACGUGGCGGGGUGGGUGUUGGCAGGGGGAGAUUUCAGGAUAGAGAAGGAGAGAUGAUUUCUUAAAGCCACUUCCAGAUGAUGUCUUAAAGCUUCCUGCCACCCUGAAUUCCAGAAUAUCAGAUAUAACCAUAAUAUAAACAUAACAGCAUCCUCUUUAAACCAAAGAAAGAAAAAAAAUUCCAAGCUGUUCUGAAUUAUCUGGUUCAUUUGAGAUUGGACUCUGUGUGAUUCGGUCCUAGUGGCAAGGCUCAU
This 1275-nucleotide long non-coding RNA is filed under the name Ursus maritimus (polar bear). RNAcentral describes it as "lncRNA (ENSUMAG00000017700.1)". The record is from RNAcentral. Lineage: Eukaryota; Metazoa; Chordata; Mammalia; Carnivora; Ursidae.